RNAcentral lists this transfer RNA (73 nucleotides) under Rattus norvegicus (Norway rat). It matches the Rfam family "tRNA". Rfam says of the family: Transfer RNA (tRNA) molecules are approximately 80 nucleotides in length. Their secondary structure includes four short double-helical elements and three loops (D, anti-codon, and T loops). The record is from Rfam by way of RNAcentral. Lineage: Eukaryota; Metazoa; Chordata; Mammalia; Rodentia; Muridae.
GGGAAUGUAGCUCAGUGGGUAGAGUGUUAGCUUAGGAUGUCUUAGGUCCUGAGUUCAAGCCUCUGUGUUUUUA